UACAGAGGUCCCGAGCGUUGUUCGGAAUUACUGGGCGUAAAGCGUGCGUAGACGGUUAUUUAAGUCAGGUGUGAAAGCCCCGGGCUCAACCUGGGAAUUGCAUUUGAGACUGAAUAGCUAGGGUGCGGAAGAGGGAAGCGGAAUUUCCGGUGUAGCGGUGAAAUGCGUAGAUAUCGGAAGGAACACCAGUGGCGAAAGCGGCUUCCUGGUCCAGCACCGACGUUCAGGCACGAAAGCGUGGGGAGCAAACAGG
Molecule: ribosomal RNA, 253 nt
Filed under: uncultured bacterium
Lineage: Bacteria
Description: partial 16S ribosomal RNA
Rfam family: Bacterial small subunit ribosomal RNA
Source: RNAcentral